UUGUUUUGAUGUAAGUGGAGUGAUGGAACUCAAGUUCCAUCACUUCUAUUAUUUAUUUUGGUGUACGUGAAAAAUAUAAUGUAACUCAAGUUACGUUAGAGUUCCACUUCACCUGCUCUCGACUUCCUCCUCUAAAGUGCCGAACUCGACUUCCACCACACUCAACCUCCUCUAAAAAAUUAAUUAAACAGUAAAAUCUAAACUCUAUUUCCUUUAUAAUGGAUUAGAAUUACCUUAUUUAUAAUAAAUUAGGAUUACCUUUAAAUAAUAAUAAAAAAUUGAAUUAUAUAAUAUGUUAAAUUUUAUAGUGGUAAAUUUACUACUCUAUUUAAUUAAGAGAUAAUAUGAUCCACUUACUUACAUCAAAACAAACAACGGAACUCAAAAAACUAAUUUAUCAGCACCAAGUUACAUCAAAACAAACAGAAGAAGUAAUUGAAUUUAACUUUCAGACUGUAUGAGUUACAUCAAAAUAAACAACAAAAAAAUAAUCACACUUCAGAAAAACUCAAACAUCACUACACUCGACUUAUAUUGGAUCUACAGAUUCGUCAAUCCAAACGCUCCCUUAGUUUAUUGCCUCAUUUUUU
Molecule: long non-coding RNA, 590 nt
Filed under: Ananas comosus (pineapple)
Lineage: Eukaryota; Viridiplantae; Streptophyta; Magnoliopsida; Poales; Bromeliaceae
Description: long non-coding RNA (ACOM_LNC004846)
Source: RNAcentral